AAAUAAAGAAAUGAAAACUAAACAUAAAUUACUUUUACGACUGCUACUUUGAAAAUAACAACAAUCAAGUAUGUGUAGGGAGGGAAUCACAAUUGAAAGGACAAAAAAUCUAAAGAAAGAAUAAAAAAGGUCGAUAAUUAGUUUUAUUUAUAUAUGUAUUUUAAAAUUUAUUCAUUUCGACAGAAUAAAUUUCGUUUUAUGAAAUAGCUUAGAUGAUUUGCUACUAACUUUGAAAUGAAUCAUAAACAUAAUCUUCGUAAUGAUCAAUAGGCUGUUUCUUUGAAGGAUUUAUUAUACAUGCUUUGGGUUUUAUACAAAGAAUAUUUGUAAAGUGUUUGAGGAAGCACUUGUUUUGUGCCAAUCUAAUUCACCUACGUAUGUAGGUAGGUAUGUAGUGAGUAUUGUUGAUGAUCAAAGAAUCGUAGAGAAG
Non-coding RNA from Schizosaccharomyces pombe (fission yeast), 430 nucleotides. The record is from the annotation of a GenBank genome assembly. Lineage: Eukaryota; Fungi; Ascomycota; Schizosaccharomycetes; Schizosaccharomycetales; Schizosaccharomycetaceae.